RNAcentral lists this ribosomal RNA (445 nucleotides) under uncultured bacterium. Its description in RNAcentral is "partial 16S ribosomal RNA". It matches the Rfam family "Bacterial small subunit ribosomal RNA", at positions 354 to 796 of the family's 1533-position model. The record is from RNAcentral.
GUGAGGAAUAUUGGACAAUGGGCGCAAGCCUGAUCCAGCCAUGCCGCGUGCAGGAAGACGCAUCUAUGGUGUGUAAACUGCUUUUGUACGGGAAGAAACACUCCCUCGUGAGGGAGCUUGACGGUACCGUAAGAAUAAGGAUCGGCUAACUCCGUGCCAGCAGCCGCGGUAAUACGGAGGAUCCAAGCGUUAUCCGGAAUCAUUGGGUUUAAAGGGUCCGUAGGCGGUUUAAUAAGUCAGUGGUGAAAGCCCAUCGCUCAACGAUGGAACGGCCAUUGAUACUGUUAGACUUGAAUUACAAGGAAGUAACUAGAAUAUGUAGUGUAGCGGUGAAAUGCUUAGAUAUUACAUGGAAUACCAAUUGCGAAGGCAGGUUACUACUUGUGGAUUGACGCUGAUGGACGAAAACGUGGGGAGCGAACAGGAUUAGAAACCCUAGUAGUCC